GGGGAUGAUCGGUUUCGACGGUGACCCUGUUCCAGGGGAAGCGGGUCGAGGAUGUGCAGUUAUCUCGUUAACGCCCUGCACAAACCAAUAGGUGCCGAAUCUAAGAGCACCGACUUCGCCCUCGCUGCCUAAGCGAGCCUGAAGUCCGUCAGCCUGGGGACGCUCUCGCCCCAGAUCCUGGCGUCAUCUUGAGAGCCACUGCUUCGUUGUCGCGUUACCCGGCAACGAGGGACUUUUAGGUAACUGAGCCCGUCGGCAGCUAGUUCGCGAGACUGCCGGGGCCGAGAAAAUCAGCAGCGAACUGCACCCGGAGAAUCCUUGUUUCACGUGUCAUCGGACGCGGGUUCGAUUCCCGCCAUCUCCACGG
This 367-nucleotide transfer-messenger RNA is filed under the name Bowdeniella nasicola. RNAcentral describes it as "Actinomyces nasicola transfer-messenger RNA". It matches the Rfam family "transfer-messenger RNA". Rfam says of the family: Bacterial tmRNA, also known as 10Sa RNA or SsrA, is named for its dual tRNA and mRNA-like properties. Its role is to liberate the mRNA from a stalled ribosome. The record is from RNAcentral. Lineage: Bacteria; Bacillati; Actinomycetota; Actinomycetes; Actinomycetales; Actinomycetaceae. RNAcentral also lists the same sequence under 1 other name.